RNAcentral lists this transfer RNA (65 nucleotides) under Peltoperlopsis cebuano. Its description in RNAcentral is "tRNA-Ala". It matches the Rfam family "tRNA". Rfam says of the family: Transfer RNA (tRNA) molecules are approximately 80 nucleotides in length. Their secondary structure includes four short double-helical elements and three loops (D, anti-codon, and T loops). Lineage: Eukaryota; Metazoa; Arthropoda; Insecta; Plecoptera; Peltoperlidae. The record is from RNAcentral.
AGGACUGUAGUUAAUUAUAACAUUUGGUUUGCAUCCAAAAAGUAUUGUGUACUCAAUCUGUCUUA